RNAcentral lists this long non-coding RNA (6324 nucleotides) under Ananas comosus (pineapple). RNAcentral describes it as "long non-coding RNA (ACOM_LNC013719)". Lineage: Eukaryota; Viridiplantae; Streptophyta; Magnoliopsida; Poales; Bromeliaceae. The record is from RNAcentral.
UUACAGGGUCGUUCAGAUUGUUCCGGACUGUUGGGUGCCGUCAGAGUUGACGGUGGACCCGUAUCGCCUUUUUGGCGUCAGAUUGUGCCGAUGGCAUGUUACCUGUUGGUUGUUUGACCAGUUUGAGUCGGUUACUUGACUUUGGCUAUUGAGAGCCUGAUUGAGCUCAACAGAGAUACGCUGCAUACUCGGUUGGGUAGCGCCCACGAGUGCCACUCCGGAGACGGGCUUUGUGCUUUCGCGUUGGUGUCGCUUAUGCCAGUUGGACUUGCUCUCCACAGACCAGUUAGUGUGGAGGUAGCUAGAGAGUCGCAAUGGGGCAGGGACGGGUGUAUUCACAGUUCCGGGGACGGGUAUGCUUACAGUCCCGAUUAGAUUGGGUCAGAUUUGACAUUUCCUACAGUUGAUUAGUGUAGAGCAAGAUAGUGUAGUUAUUAAUAGCGGUAGAGUGUACUUCCUGCUUUUCCUACUAUUCUUGCUCCCUUCUGUAGACUUAGUGGGUGACCGAUGUUGUUUUGGGCGGUACCCACUGAGGACUACUUAUUUUCACAGUAGUUCUCACGCCCAGUUGUUACUCUUGUUUUCCAGAGCCACAGGUUUCGGUUGCUGCUCCUUCCGCGGAUCAGGAUCGAGGCAAGGGCGUCGAGAGCUAGAGCCCUACCUGACUGACAGAGCUAGAGGCACCCCUACUUGUCGACAGCUCUGAAGAAGUGUCGGAACAGAUCCGAGUCGGGCGUUGGCGUGCAAUAGAAUGCAAAAAGCGGACCUCCGUGCGACGCGAGGCGGCACCUUCAGCGAAAAAAUCUACAAAAUAGCAUGUUUCCUGGCUGCGUGUACCGUGGUACACUGCCAGCGAGGUGUACGCUGGUAUCAGCUAUACUCUGGUUGACAACGUACUGCUCUCUGGUUGGCCUCCUGUACGGUACUGGUAACGCGUGCAUCCCGUGACGCGAUAAGGCUAGGGUAAGUGGGGUGUUUUGGUCUUUUUCUUAGCCGUCGUUCGAUCAACCUUCCUCUCCCAGCUAUUUACAUGUGUAGAGUGAGGCUGAGAGAGGAGAAUUUUUGCUCUUUGGUCCUCUCCUCUCUCGUCUAGAGCCGAUUGUGAGCAAGGUGGAGCUCGCGGAGAGUUUCGUCGUCAGACGUGGUGGCCGCGGAGCUGUUCGUGGCGCACGUUGUGUCGUCUUGGUGCUGUGAGGAAGCUCGCGUCGAGGCAGGGCGAUUUCGUUUCCUGAUCAUUGCCGCCGACCUCUGAGGAUCUUAUCGAGGUGAGUGCUCUGUGGAAUUGGCUGCGCAUACUUCGGUACAUUAAUCUCGAGCCUAAAGUGCUGAUUCGCAGGCUCUGUGUCGCAUCUGUUAGUAUUUCAGCCGUUCUCCGACGUAGACAUCGGAUUGGACGAGACUUGAUUCGUUGAUCGGGACUUACGAGAGGAAUUCCACGAAGCCGCUUACUUUGGAAUUUUGGUGAGUUAGCUUGUUCAAAGAUCCUUCUCUUCUGCUGGUCUGCUGUGGAAUUUUGACUGAAUCUGAGGAUUUUGGUGUUUUUACUUUGGAGUUAGCUGAUUUCGAGACUCGGGCUGCAUUUUUUGGUCGAUCCAUGCAGGUGGUGUCGCAGCGAGGGGGUUCCGUGGCUGCCAGGGAGUUAGCAGUUGGCGAGGUUGGGUUAGAUCGGUUAUUGACUCCUGAAGUUUCCAUAAUUGGUCGACAGUAAUAGAAUCUCGAUUUCUGAUAAAUCUAGAUCUAGCGUCGAAUUCAUCGGUAUUAUGAUUAAUUGCAAUACUGAAUUAUGGAGCAUGUGGUAUGAUAAUUCAAGUAGGUAUACAAUGGUUUGGGAACUUGGAAAAAUUGAAUUCAGGAAAGAACCUAUUAACCUUGGACGUAUUAAACUGGCUGAUUUAGCUUAAGGAGCCGUUAUAAAAUGUGUACUGUCGCAGUAUCUAGCAGACGAGUACUGUCAAUAAGUUUAGAAUCACAUUUACGCUCGUGCUGGUAUGUGCGAGUGUAAUUUUUACAACAGGGUCGUUUCAGGUUGUUCCGGAGCUGGUUGUCGCUCAGGUCAGACGCAGAGUUGACGGUCGGACGCCGUAUCGCUUUUCGGGCGUCAGAAUUGUGCCGAUGGGCAACGUUACAGAGGCCCUGUGGUUGUUAGACUAGUUUGAGUCUUACUUGACUUUGGCUAUGUAGAGCCUGAUUGAGCUCAGACAGAGAUACUCUGGGGCAUAACUCGUUGGUACGCCUUGACGAAUGCCCCUGCCGCAUUCAUGGAUUUGAUGAACAGAGUGUUCAAGCCGUUCUUGGAUAGGUUUGUGGUAGUCUUCAUCGACGAUAUCCUGAUAUACUCCCGGAGUGAUGCUGACCAUGAGGAGCACUUGAGGAUUGUGCUACAGCUUCUGCGAGAAAAUAAGCUGUAUGCCAAGUUGAAGAAGUGCGAGUUCUGGCUACGGGAGGUUGCUUUCUUGGGCCACGUGAUUUUAGCCGAGGGUGUAGCAGUGGACCCGAAGAAGAUUGAGGCAAUUCGAGAUUGGCCUAGACCGACGACGGUGACUGAGGUACGGAGCUUCCUGGGACUGGCAGGAUAUUACCGUCGAUUUGUGGAAGGCUUUGCGAAGCUUUCCACACCCCUCACACACUUGACGCGGAAGGGGAUUCGUUUUGUCUGGAGCGACGACUGUCAGAGGAGCUUUGACGAGUUGAGACUGAGGUUGACGUCAGCUCCUAUCCUUGCCCUUUCGGUAAUGGGAGAUGGAUUUGUGAUCUACAGUGAUGCAUCGCACAGUGGACUUGGUUGCGUGCUGAUGCAGCAUAGUAGGGUGAUUGCUUAUGCUUCACGGCAGUUAAAGGAUUGUGAGAAGAAUUACCCUACGCAUGACUUGGAGCUUGCCGCGGUGGUUUUUGCUUUGAAGCUCUGGCGGCAUUACUUGUACGGCGAGCACUGCGAGGUAUUCACCGAUCAUCAAAGUCUCAAGUAUCUGUUCACACAGAGGGAGCUGAAUCUGAGGCAGCGCCGGUGGUUGGAGUUACUGAAGGACUAUGACAUUAGUAUUCAGUAUCAUCCCGGCAGGGCGAAUGUGGUGGCAGAUGCGUUGAGCAGGAAGUCAGUGCAGAGCCUGAGUUUGAGGAUUACUGAGCAGAGACCCCUACUCGAGGAGCUACAGCGGCUGGGACUCGAGAUAGUACCCCCUGGGUCUACGGCGAGGCUGACGUCUCUAGUUUUACAGCCCACUCUGUUGGAUAGGAUCCGAGAGAAACAGAGUGGAGAUCCGUACUUGUUGAGGAUUAGAGAGCAGCUAGACAGGGGGCAGGCUGAGGGAUUUGCUUUGGACAGUUCGGGAGUACUACGGUACAGGGACCGACUGUGUGUGCCUGUGGAUCCGGAGAUUCGAGCGGAUAUUCUGAGAGAGGCUCAUUGUUCCCCUUAUACGGUUCAUCCUGGGGGAACCAAGAUGUAUAAGGAUCUUAAGGCACGAUUCUGGUGGCCUGGAAUGAAGCGGGACAUUGGCAGAUAUGUGGCUCAGUGUUUGACUUGCCAACAGGUGAAGGCCGAGCAUCAGGUGCCUGCUGGCAAGCUUCAGAGUCUGCCAGUGCCCGAGUGGAAGUGGGAGUACAUCACUAUGGACUUCGUCGUUGGAUUGCCUAGAGCGCAGGGUGGCUACGACGCGAUUUGGGUGAUAGUGGACAGACUGACCAAGUCUGCUCACUUCCUACCGGUUCAGACUACCUGGUCCAGGGAGAGACUUGCGCAGCUAUACUUGGAUGAGAUCGUUAGGCUGCACGGCGUGCCAGUGUCGAUUGUAUCAGACAGAGACCCGAGGUUUGUAUCCCAGUUUUGGAGGAGUUUGCAGACAGCCUUGGGUACACAGCUGCAUUUUAGCACGGCGUUCCACCCACAGACAGAUGGUCAGUCAGAGCGGACCAUACAGACUCUAGAGGACAUGCUGAGGGCAUGCGUCCUGGAUUUUGGAGGAGGGUGGUAUCGACAUGUGAGACUGGUUGAGUUUGCGUACAACAACAGCUAUUAAACGAGCAUUCAGAUGGCUCCGUUUGAGGCGUUGUAUAGACGCAGAUGUCGAUCCCUCCUGUUUUGGAGCGAUGUGGGUGAGCGUAGGACACUUGGACCGGACAUUCUAUGUGAGGCUGAGGAAAAGGUGAGAGUCGUUCGACGACACCUUCUGACAGCACAGAGCCGACAGAGGAGCUACGCCGAUACCAGGAGACGAGACUUGGAGUUUCAGGUUGGGGAUCAUGUUUUUCUCAAAGUCUCGCCAUCCAGAGGGAUACGCCGAUUUGGAGUACGUGGAAAGCUUAGUCCACGGUUUGUUGGCCCUUUCGAGGUAUUGGAGCGUAUCGGACCAGUUGCUUACAGGAUAGCUCUACCCCCGCGACUUGCUGGCGUCCACGAUGUUUUCCAUGUCUCAGUAUUGAGGAGAUACGUUUUUGAUCCCUUUCAUGUGAUUGACUUCACUCCACUUGAGAUUGGCGAAGAUCUGAGAUACGAGGAGCGGCCGCUGCGAAUUCUUGCUCGGGAGACGAAAGAAUUGCGCAACCGAGUCAUCCCGUAUGUGAAAGUGCAGUGGAGUAAUCACGAUGAGCGGGAGGCGACUUGGGAGUCUGAGACGGUGAUGAGGGAAGCCUAUCCCUAUUUGUUCGAUGCCGGAGCAGAGGUACGUUUCGGUUUCGCGGACGAAACCUUUUGUAGUGGGGGAGGAUGUGAGAUCCCUGGUGUUUGACUAUGGAGGCUUGUCGACAGCUCUGAAGAGUGUCGGGACAAGUCCGAGUCGCGUUGGCGUCAAAUAGAUGCAAAACGGACUCCGUGCGACGCGAGGGCAGCCUUCAGCGAAAAAAUCUACAAAAUAGCAGAUUUUCCUGCUUGCUGUACCGGUACAGCCAGCGAGGUGUACCGGUACACUAUACUGGUUGAGCACGUACUGCUCUCGGGUUGGCCUCCUGUACCGGUACGCGAUCCCGUGUACCGGUACACCAGGGUAGGUGAGGGGGUGUUUUGGUCUUUUUCUACCUCGUUCGUAUCACCCUUCUCUCCCCAGCUUAUUUACUUGUAGAGUGAGGCUGAGAGAGAGAAUUUUGCUCUUGGUUCUCUCCCUCUCUCUCUAGAGCCGAUUGUGAGCAAGGUGGAGCUCGGGUGGAGUUUCGUCGUCGACGUGGUGCCGCGGAGCUGUUCGGGCGCACGUUGUGUCGUCUUGGUGCUGUGAGGAGCUCGGGCGAGCGUGGAUUUCCGUUGUCCUCGACAUUGCGCCGACUCUUGAGGAUCUAUCGAGGUGAGUGCUCUGUGGAAUUGCUGCGCAUACUUCGGGUAUCAUUAAUUCGAGCCUAAGUGCUGAUUCGCAGGAUCUUGUCGUCGACUGUUAGUAUUUCAGCUCGUUCUCGACGUAGGAGCAUCGGAUUGUGACGAGACUUGAUUCGUUGGAUUCGGGACUUCGAGAGGAAUCCACGAAGCCCUUACUUGCGAAUUUUGGUGAAGGUUAGCUUGGUCAAAAUCCUUCUCUUCUCUGCUGCUGUGGAUUUUGGACUGAAUUGAGGAUUUUUGGUGUUUUUACUUUGGAGUUAGCUCGAUUUCGAGACUCGGGCGUUUUUGGUCGAUCCAGCAGGUGGUGUCGCAGCCGAGGGGGUUCCGUGCUGCCAGGGAUUAGCGUGCGAGGUGGGUUACAUCGGUUUUGACUCCUAAGUUCAUAAUCGUCGACAUGUAUAGAUCUCGAUUUUUGAUAAUCUAUUCUAGCUCGAAUUCAUGGAUUAUAUGAUAGAUUGCAAAUCUGAAUUUGGAGCAUGUGGUAAUAAAUUAAGUAGGUUAUACAUGUUGGACUUGAAAAUUGAAUUAGGAGAAAACCUGCGAUUUGGACCUGUCACCUGUUUAAACUGCCUGAUUUAGCUCUAGGAGCCGUUAUAAAAUUGUACUGUCGCAGUAUCCUCAAGACGAGUACUCCAGGUAGUUUAGAAUACAUUUACGCUCGUGCUGGUAUGCCGAGUGAAUUUUUACAGGGUCGUUCAGGUUGUUCCGGACUGUUGGGUGCCGUCAGAGUUGACGGUGGACCCGUAUCGCCUUUUUGGCGUCAGAUUGUGCCGAGGGCACGUUACCUGUUGGUUGUUAGACCAGUUUGAGUCGGUUACUUGACUUUGGCUAUUGAGAGCCUGAUUGAGCUCGACAGAGAUACGCUGCAUACUCGGUUGGGUAGCGCCCACGAGUGCCACUCCGGAGUCAGGCUUGUGCUUUUGCGUUGGUGUCGCUCAUGCCAGUUGGACUUGCUCUCCACGGACCAGUUAGUGUGGAUAGAGCCCGAUAGUCGCAACGGGGCAGGGACGGGUGUAUUCACAGUC